AUACAGAGGGUGCAAGCGUUAAUCGGAAUUACUGGGCGUAAAGCGCGCGUAGGCGGUUUGUUAAGUCGGACGUGAAAUCCCCGGGCUCAACCUGGGAACUGCAUUCGAAACUGGCGAGCUAGAGUAUGGUAGAGGAUAGUGGAAUUCCGGGUGUAGCGGUGAAAUGCGUAGAUAUCCGGAGGAACAUCAGUGGCGAAGGCGGCUAUCUGGACCAAUACUGACGCUGAGGUGCGAAAGCGUGGGGAGCAAACAGGAUUAGAUACCCUAGUAGUCC
Molecule: ribosomal RNA, 274 nt
Filed under: uncultured bacterium
Lineage: Bacteria
Description: partial 16S ribosomal RNA
Rfam family: Bacterial small subunit ribosomal RNA
Source: RNAcentral